Molecule: non-coding RNA, 111 nt
Organism: Acanthosepion pharaonis
Lineage: Eukaryota; Metazoa; Mollusca; Cephalopoda; Sepiida; Sepiidae
Source: the annotation of a GenBank genome assembly
AUGAUCAUAUCAUGUUGAAACACCAAUUCUCACCUGAUCAGCAAAGUUAAGCAAUAUCAAACCUGGUCAGUACCUAGAUGGGUGACCGCUUGAGAAUAUGAGGUGCUGUAA